GUUCAUAGCUCAGGAUGAACGCUGGCGGCGUGCCUAACACAUGCAAGUCGAACGAAGCUUGACGGAUGAUUUCUUCGGAAUGAAACCAGAUAUGACUUAGUGGCGGACGGGUGAGUAACACGUGAGCAACCUGCCUUUCAGAGGGGGGAUAACGGCUGGAAACGGUCGCUAAUACCGCAUGAUGUGUUCGGAUGGCAUCAUCUGAACAUCAAAGAUUUAUCGCUGAAAGA
RNAcentral lists this ribosomal RNA (230 nucleotides) under uncultured bacterium. Its description in RNAcentral is "partial 16S ribosomal RNA". It matches the Rfam family "Bacterial small subunit ribosomal RNA", at positions 15 to 225 of the family's 1533-position model. The record is from RNAcentral.